UUUGAGCUUCGAGGCUAGGACUAGGAGCUCAAGAUGAUGGCUAGAAGGCAAAUACUGUUUACUAAAGGAGAUGUAGAUAGAAUGAGAGCAGAGAACAGGAGGAAGGAGGUAGAGAGGACGGAGCAGCUCAAAAUGGUGGCACAAGACAAACUAAUGCGGGCCAACAUGGCCUCCGAGGAGAGAGUGGAAAAGAAGAUACUAGCUAGAAUAUUGCAGAAAGAGGCCACAGAGAAAGAAACAGACGAGAAGAUAGCAGCAUCCAUUUAGAGAGAAAAAGUUAAGAGAACAGCAACUGGAGCAAGAGAAAAGAAUGGCUUUCUUCUUCAAUCUCCUCCUUUCUCCACCCCACUUUACUUCUCCCUCCCUCUUUCUUUGUUUAGGAGUUACAAAAGAUUAAACUUGAAUCCCAAAGAGAUGAGAGACUUUGUCAGCAAAUCAGAGACAAUAGUCAGGAGUUGAGAGAGUUAGAGUCAAAGUUACGUGCUGGAUACAUGAACAAGGAAAGAGCAGCUCAACUUCAAUCGGAACCAAAAGAUAUGAAAAUCAUUCAGGUGGCGAGAGAGAGAUUCAGCGAACAAUGCUGGAGCUGUUGAACCAGCUUGACAGGUUUGACUCAAGAGGUGAUGUGAAAGUCAUAAUGGCUACCAAUAGGAUUGAGACGCUUGACCCCGCCCUCAUUAGACCAGGUCGUAUCGAUAGAAAGAUUGAGUUUCCUCUACCUAACGAGAAGACAAA
Molecule: long non-coding RNA, 735 nt
Organism: Amphimedon queenslandica
Lineage: Eukaryota; Metazoa; Porifera; Demospongiae; Haplosclerida; Niphatidae
Exons: 5
Source: RefSeq, a predicted model, not a curated record